RNAcentral lists this unclassified non-coding RNA (404 nucleotides) under soil metagenome. RNAcentral describes it as "partial contains 5.8S ribosomal RNA, internal transcribed spacer 2, and large subunit ribosomal RNA". The stretch from base 1 to 122 matches the Rfam family "5.8S ribosomal RNA", at positions 35 to 154 of the family's 154-position model. The record is from RNAcentral.
GAUGAAGAACGCAGUAAAAUGCGAUACUUGGUGUGAAUUGCAGAAUCCCGUGAACCAUCGAGUUUUUGAACGCAAGUUGCGCCCGAAGCCUUUUGGCCGAGGGCACGUCUGCCUGGGCGUCACGCAUCGCGUCGCCCCCCUCAAUUCUCCGUAAAAGGAACAUGUGUUUUGGGGGCGGAUAUUGGUCUCCCGUGCUCAUGGCGUGGUUGGCCGAAAUAGGAGUCCUUUCGAUGGACGCACGAACUAGUGGUGGUCGUAAAAACCCUCGUCUUUUGUUUCGUGCUGUUGCUCGCAAGGUAAACUCUUUAAAAACCCCAAUGUGUCGUCUCUUGACGACGCUUCGACCGCGACCCCAGGUCAGGCGGGACUACCCGCUGAGUUUAAGCAUAUCAAUAAGCGGAGGA